GAUGAGCGAAUUUCCGGUUAUGAAAUUAGUUUGCGAUUCGUUUACUGGUAAAAGGUGAAUUGCGUUAUGGAUUCAGUUACCACGGACCAGAACGCAAUUCUAUAACUGAAUGCCUUUAGCGGCAUUCCGUUAAUCAUUCCAUCAUAAUAGAAGUCUAUGGGCUGCAUAACGGAUCCUCCCAUUUCUGUUAUGCAGGAGAGGACUCCCCUGCAUAACGGAAAUAGAGCGGAUCCUUUCCCAACCUGAAC
Long non-coding RNA from Bufo bufo (common toad), 248 nucleotides. RefSeq lists it as uncharacterized. Lineage: Eukaryota; Metazoa; Chordata; Amphibia; Anura; Bufonidae. The transcript has 3 exons. The record is from RefSeq and is a predicted model, not a curated record.